This is a long non-coding RNA of Vicia villosa (hairy vetch), 2675 nucleotides long. RefSeq lists it as uncharacterized. The transcript has 7 exons. The record is from RefSeq and is a predicted model, not a curated record. NCBI's taxonomy places the organism in Eukaryota, Viridiplantae, Streptophyta, Magnoliopsida, Fabales, Fabaceae.
CAAAAGCACCCACGAACCCACGCAGUACUCACCAUUAUCUAUAUCGAGAAGAAUAAUAGGGUUCAUAUGUCUCUCUUUGCCUUCGCUUCACAACAAAAUCACCAUCAUCACUGCUCUCACCACAACCAUAAUCAUAAACCCUAAAUCGAUAAUCAACAAAAAAAAGUAUUGAUAUAGCGAAUGCUCUACGUUUCCAGAUUUAGAAAGAGUCAUCGGUUGGGUUAGCUACACAAUCUGCCCAUCCUGGUAAUUUCUUAAACUCAGUGUAGAUUUAUUGCUUUUAUUUCUUAUCCCGCCUUUGAAUUUAUGUUAUACAUGUGAGUGAAUAAGUGAUUAUAAAGUGCUUUUCCCUAAUAAGUGAUUAUUUGUGUCAUGCCAAGAUCUUUUAAUUAUACCUGGAACCAUUUUAAUAGCUUUUUUAAUCUGCUGUGUGAUGUAUUUUCGUGUCAGUAUCCUACAGUCUAGCCAAAUUUCUUGACAGAAAUGAAAUUUUUUUCUUUAGGGCUGCUGUUAGCCUGUUACUAGUUCUUUCUUGGACUCAGUUUGUUUAUGUAGUUCCAGGUGUUGUCUAAUAAGAUGUUUAUUCAGUUAUCAAAGUCUGCGAACUCCGUAAAUUUUCCAAUGAUAACCCCAAAUAAUUAUCAAUUUCUUGUUCAAGUGUUUGAGCUCCUUGUCACUUAAAUCAGGUUUAUGAUCAAAAGAAAAUAAAGAAUCUGACCCCUGAAUUUGUGAAUUAAGCAAAGGAAUCAUGUGUCUUGCAUAUAGUUAAAGUAACUUAGGAAUCGUGGAUACAGUUAUUAUGUUCAUUGUUCUAUCAUGUUUGAUACAAAGUUUGUGGUAGUAUCUCCAAAUAAAAUGAUAUUUUUCAAAAGUGACCAUGGACAUCGUGAUCGUGAGUCAUAUUAUGGAGAUCUUGUUACAAAUACCCUUGUGAAGGUACAAGAUAUAUUUAAUUUAAACAUGUCAUACUUCCAGAUUUUGCUUGAUUAGAAUUAAAGGUAACAUUAAUCAUUCUCUAAGAUUUAGAAUUAUUACGAUUUGGUGUUUUAAUUGUAUAGUGUAAAAUGGAGCAAAACCUCUCGUUCUGCCGACAACUGGUCUGAUCACAUCUGGCCCUCUAAACUCAUCAGGACUUCCGAGGAACGUGUUUGGUCCAUUAGAAUCUUUAGGGUCGAUGAAAUCGCAUAGUGUUGUUGUAGUUCAUAAUCCAACUGUGACUACUCUUAGUGUGGAAUGUGGACGAUGAGUAUUCCUUCAAAAAUAACUUCCGGAAGCCAAUAUUGUGGCAUGUGAUUCUGAUUUUUGUUAUGGGAUUCAUUGCCGGUGGCUUUAUUGUCGGAGUUGCCCACAAUGCUAUAUUGCUUAUUGUUGUAGUAAUUCUUUUUGGCGCGGUUGCGGCAUUGUUCACUUGGAAUAGUUGUCAGGGAAGAAAAGCUAUUGUUGAUUUCAUUUCUAAAUAUCCAGAUGCAGAGCCAAGAACUGCCGAGAAUAGACAGUUUGUGAAGGUUUCCGGGAGGAUAAUAUAGAGGAUGGGAUUCCAAAGCAUCUAAUGCAAAACAUCGCUACUUUACCUGGGGACUUCGUUUGACCGAGAAGGACAAGUCAUUGCUAUCAAGCAACAUAAAUUGGCUAGUUCUCAAGGUGAUGUCGAGUUUUGCUCAACACCGGAAUGUUGUUAUGUUGAUUGGAUUAUGCAUGGAGGAUAAGAGAAGGCUGGUGGUUUAUGAGUACAUAUGUGAUGGAUCAUUUGAUUCACAUUUAUAUGGCGGCAAAGGGAUACAUUAGAAGUCUGCAAGGUAGAAAAUUGUUGUUGGAGCUGCUCGCGGGCUAAGGUCUUCACGAAGAGUGCAGAGUUGGUUGUAUCAUCCACCGCGACAUGAUUUAGCUUAACAGGCGACAAAGGGAUCUAUUAGAAUGGUCUUCAAGGUAGAAAAUUGUUGUUGGAGCUGCUCGCGUAGUAAGAACACGAAGUUGUACAGAAGCCUUAAAAUCACACUGUGCUGCCAUCAUUUGUCUCAUUUGGGAAGAGGACAGACACAUAGUUAUUGUAUGACUCUUCCGUCCGAGAGAGAGAUGUUUAUGCUUGUCAUUUUGUUAGAUAAUUUGACCUACCAUCACUAGUUUUCUUGAUUUACUUCUUACUGUCACUACCAGUUAUUAUUUGUUAAGGAAAUAAAAAGCUUUGGUUUUUAUGCUCCUUAGAUCAGCCUGCACAUUCUUAAUUUUCUCUCUAUUUGAUAUGAUAUAGUUUGGUGAUUAGUUAGUUGUAACUAAAUUGAGGACUUAGAAUUAUGCUCUUCUUCAUCUACACAAUUGCAUCUGUGUUUGGGUUAUAAUAAUAUGAUAAUGAUAGUUAUAUCUAAGAAUAAUUCGAAGAAAACCUUGAACCUAUUUAUCAUACCAAAUAUGCUGAUGGAAAAAAAUCUGUUGAAAAAAAAUACAACUUGUUAGGUCGGUUAAUUGUAUCUGAUUUAAGAAAGCAACUUCUAAAGUCGAGUAUAAAUGACGUUAUUAAGUCAGACGCUUUUUAACAGACCUAAUAGUCUUUUCUUAAGUCAGGUCCAAAUCCGAUUUAAGAAGUAAAAACUUCUUAUGUCGGCAACUCUUAGGUCGGUUUCGGAACCGACUUAAAAAGUCAUUUUUAACCGACUUAACAAGUGUUUUUUCUACUAGUG